AAAUCUGCUGAUAGUUGUGAAGAUGCUCGCGAAUUAGUACCACUCAUCUUUGAACCGAGGACCCCUGAAUCGCUCCCCGCUAGUGAAUUAUUGAUGGUUAGAAGAUUUAUCAGCAAUUUGUUCCUGAAUCACAACAUGCCCACUGGUGAUAAUGAAGAUUUCAGCAUGCCUUCUCCUGAAAUAAUGAUGUUUCGAAGAAAAGGAAUAUCAAACGGAGUCCAAGCGGAAUGAAAC
Long non-coding RNA from Triticum dicoccoides, 234 nucleotides. RefSeq lists it as uncharacterized. NCBI's taxonomy places the organism in Eukaryota, Viridiplantae, Streptophyta, Magnoliopsida, Poales, Poaceae. The record is from RefSeq and is a predicted model, not a curated record. The transcript has 3 exons.